Long non-coding RNA from Columba livia (rock pigeon), 678 nucleotides. RefSeq lists it as uncharacterized. NCBI's taxonomy places the organism in Eukaryota, Metazoa, Chordata, Aves, Columbiformes, Columbidae. The transcript is spliced from 5 exons. The record is from RefSeq and is a predicted model, not a curated record.
AUGUGAAAAGCAGAACUUCUGAACUCUUCAAUAUUUUUAAGAAGGCAAGCUAAUACAGCGGCUUACACGCUUGGCCCUGUGCUGUCUCCUACAAUGUGCCACCACCAGACUUGCCUCUGCUUGGGAUUUGCUCUACAAAAUUAAAUUUACCAGGAGGAGGGUUCACCUCCCUUGUUUGAGCAGUUUGGAAUGUGGGACAACAUUCCAUUUAGACAUACCAAGAAAAAACAUGGAGUGAUUGCACUGACCUCAAUGUAAUUACUCAGCGCUGAAUUAAAGGCACAGGACAUCUGGAGUAACAAGAAGACAUCAAAAUCCCAGCUUUUGUUAGUAAUCCAAAUGUUUCUAGGCCUCAAGACGCAUUUGUAAAGAGAGACUCUUGAUAAAACAAUGACCAUCUCCCAGCUCAGCAGAACGCUCCCGUGACUCUGCAGGGUGUACUUACAGCCAGAAUGUCCUGCAAGUUUCCAAGCAGCAAACAUCACCAGUACAGAGAAGUUUAAGAGUGUAAAUCAAGUCACAGAACCUGCCUGUGCAUCCUGUGGCUACAGUGAGAGACGGGAUCUGCGGUUUUCCUCCUCUAUUGGUUCCUUAGCUGAAGGCUCCUAUGCUGUGGUAGCUUUCUGCAGGCCACCACCACCCCUUCUCUGAAGCUACGAGCCAGUGAGUGAACUUGUG